UGAUGGGCGUUAUGUAAUUAUGAUGAUGACAAUUUUUUCAAUCUACACAGGAUUAAUAUACAAUGAAGAUGUUGAUUCUUCUUGGAGUUGCACGAAUGAACCUUGUGAUUGUGAUUAGUUACUUCAAAGCAUUUUUUUGGUCUUAAUGCAUGGAUGGGAGAGUGUCGGAUGCUUCUUCAGAUACUAUUUCUUGGUCCGUCAAAUCUGCUUGACCCAAAUGAAAGUUUUUCUCAAAUGUGGCAAAAAUAAUUGUCUCAUCAAUUGUCAGCGCGCCUGCUUCCAGC
This 284-nucleotide long non-coding RNA is filed under the name Zea mays. Its description in RNAcentral is "drought responsive lncRNA". Lineage: Eukaryota; Viridiplantae; Streptophyta; Magnoliopsida; Poales; Poaceae. The record is from RNAcentral.